Molecule: long non-coding RNA, 815 nt
Filed under: Neodiprion pinetum (white pine sawfly)
Lineage: Eukaryota; Metazoa; Arthropoda; Insecta; Hymenoptera; Diprionidae
Description: uncharacterized LOC124220085
Source: RNAcentral
AUCAUGAUACAUCUUGUCAUAUCAUGCAUCAUACAUCAUACAUCAUACAUAGUAUUAUAGUUCAAAACCAUAGUUUGGAUGAUCGGACUUUCAGAAAGUGAUGUCACCCAAAAUUUUUUUUUUCUUGACGUCAUCGAUCUACAGUAAUCAGCUAGUCGAAUUCCUCAGUCUGGAAACAACCGCGCAGUAGAGCGGACGUAUGAAAAUCGCGCUCGGCAGAUUUCGGGUACCGGGUUCUUUACCUUCUGGAUCCUGCGCUCCGAGUCCGCUUCCUGAUGCACCUCGAGUUCCAGGUCUAGCGCUCCGUAGUUUCUACGCUCCAGGUCCGCUAUCUGGUGAAACUCGACUUUAGGGACAAGUGCUCCGUAGUUUCGGCGCUCCAGGUCCACUACUUGGUGCAACUCGACUUCAGGGACAAGCGCUCGGUGGUUUCUGAGCUCCAGGUCCACUACCUCCAGGAACUCGACUUCCAGGACAAGCGCUCCGUAGUUUCUAAGCUCAAGGUCCACUACCUGGUGGAACUCAACUUCCAGGACAAACGCUCCUUAGUUUCUGCGCUCCAGGUCCGCUCCCUGGUGAAUCGCGACUGUCGGAGGACGAGGAAGACGAGGAGAACAAGGUGGACAAGGAUGACGAGGAUUUCUGCACGGUAUAACUCGAAGUGGUUAUCGAUGGUUGUUGGAGGCGGUUGGCGGUAGUUGGCGGUGGUCGAGGGUGGACGUUGAGGAGGACGAGGAAGACGAGGAUUUGUGCUCGGUAUAACCGGAGGUGGUUGCCGAUGGUUGUGGUGGUUGAAGGUGGACGAGGAGGAGUAC